ACGGGAGGCAGCAGUGGGGAAUAUUGGGCAAUGGGCGCAAGCCUGACCCAGCAACGCCGCGUGAAGGAAGAAGGCUUUCGGGUUGUAAACUUCUUUUGUGAGGGACGAGCAGAAGACGGUACCUCAUGAAUAAGCAACGGCUAAUUACGUGCCAGCAGCCGCGGUAACACGUAAGUUGCGAGCGUUGUUCGGAAUUAUUGGGCGUAAAGGGUAUGUAGGCGGUCGUGCAAGCUUGGUGUGAAAGGCAGGGGCUCAACCCCUGGACUGCAUUGAGAACUGCAAGACUUGAAUUGCUGAAGGGCAGCCGGAAUUCCAGGUGUAGGGGUGAAAUCUGUAGAUAUCUGGAAGAACACCAAUGGCGAAGGCAGGCUGCUGGCAGAUGAUUGACGCUGAGGUACGAAAGUGCGGGGAGCAAACAGGAUUAGAUACCCUGGUA
Molecule: ribosomal RNA, 436 nt
Filed under: uncultured Treponema sp.
Lineage: Bacteria; Pseudomonadati; Spirochaetota; Spirochaetia; Treponematales; Treponemataceae
Description: partial 16S ribosomal RNA
Rfam family: Bacterial small subunit ribosomal RNA
Source: RNAcentral